AAGAGAACAAACAUAGACAGAGCUGAUCUUUGCAGCAUGAAGUUGUAAAAUGUGUCCUUAACAGAAUACAGGCCAGAGAAAGACUAGGGGCUUCUCAGGCUCAACACUGAGAUGCAGAUCAUGAUGUGACAGAAAUUCAGUGGCUUGCUUUCACACCUCUUCUGAAAACACUGGCCAUCUCCAGCAAAUUCCAUAUCUAAUUCAUUUCAUUCCAUUCUACUGAAUGGAAUAUGCAUUUCCCAAAAAGUGUUUGAUCCUGGAAUGACAUCCUUUGAGGAUAUGAUAACAUUACACAGGCUUGUACAGGAAUGUAGUAGUUGUUUUUAAUAUUUAACUUUCACAACUCAUUUUUCAUCUAGUUUCAGGAAGCUGUAUUAUUUGUUUCAGCUAAAUGGCGUGCUCCUGAGAGCCUCUGCUAACUACUGGAGUUGCCACGUGCCCACAGCUCUGUGCAGGGAUAUCACAAGCCAAACAGAAUGCAAUUCUGAAAUACAGUUGUCUUUAUAAAGACACACACACAUGAAAAAAUGCUGCUUCUAGCCACAGCAAUUCUUUAACAAUUCUAGACAGAAGUGAACAAGUAGAACUCCCAAAACCAAUCUCUUUGUCAAGAAAAUAGGAAUAAAAAGCACAUCAGUAAAAAGAAACAAAUAUUUGCAGUCAAUUUCUUGAAACUUGAAUGGCUUCCUGCCAUUGCAACACUGACUACAAUGGAAAGUUCAUAAUUUAAAUAAGGUAUUAUGUCUUGGGUGUACCAACUGGUGCUAAGUGAAAUAAGAGUAAAUUCUAGUCCUUGGAGUGUUAUUAGACUAUAGUCGCUGCCUCUCUCCAUGCACAGUCAAGAUCAGCAAGUUGCAGUAACUACUAAAAGUAGGAGGGCUUUGUGAAUAAAAACAACUUUUUAUGUGGCAAGAUCCCCUAAAAGAAAAGCAGAAGCAUAACAGGAAGAAAAAGUUAUCUCUUCAAGUUGCUUCGUUCAGCUCAUUUCUACAUCACUGUUCCUGUCUACGUCUCUUGCUUAAGUUUUCCUUUCAAACACUGAUGAUGUUGAAUACUCAUGCUUCAGGCACCCUUCUCCCUUUUUGACAAACUUUGUCCAUCUAAAGCCUCAGGGAAGAGGCAUACUGCAGUCCUGUGACUCAGGAACUAAUUUCCAGAGACACAUAUGAAUCACGGGUAGCAAUGAGCUAUAGGUAUAGGUGAUGUAGGUGAUACAUACCAAUGAUAUAGGUGUCACUCCACAAGUAAUGCCUCCUAUUUACUUCCAUCGAAACUACAACAGCUACGUAGAGCUCAAUAGCACUGUUUGAUAGAGCAAAUUCUCAGCUAUGAAAUGCUAUUUUUCAGCAUAGUCACCAGCAUUGUCUCUGCAUUUUUGCCAGCAAUGAACAAGAGCCUGAAUGCAACACAUAAAAAUCUGCACCAGAGGAGGGGACCCACAGUUUCACAGCUGCUGUGAUAGCGUGAUGGUGUUAUUGCUGAGAAAAUGUUGCCCACACAGUUCAUCCUUCAUCAGAUUGAAUAGAUGAAAGUCAGAAGGCACCAAAUCUGGACAACUUGGUGUGUAGUAGGACAGCCAAGAUCACAAGGCCAAUGUGCUCCACGGUCUUCAAACUGGUAUGGGGCCUGGUGUUAUUGUAUUGCAAGAGAAAGGUUGUCUUCAUCUGUGGCUUGACUCUAGAAGAUCAAGCCUUCAUCCUAGUCAGAAUUGUGAUGUUGUAGUCAGAGUUGAUGGUUUGUCCGGGUUCCAGGAAAUCCAGAAGGAUCACUCCUUCCCUAUCCCAAAAAACGAUGCACCUCAUUUUACCUGCUGAGGGCUGUGUUUUGAACAUUUUCUUUUAUAAGGGAAUUCACACAUCACCACUCUAUGGACUGCCAUUGUGACUCUGGUUCGUAGUGGUGACAUCAUGUACAUCUCAUCACUGGUAAAUGAUACAAUCCAGAAAACUGUCACCUUCAGCAUCUUACUGUUUCAAUAGGUUCUGGCAAACUUGCAUACAGUAUACUUUCUGUUCCUUUCUGAGCAUUCAUGAGAUUCAUUUGGCACAAACUGUGAUAUUUCAGUGUUGCCACCAUCAUUUCCAAUGAAUUGAAGCUAAUAUUCAGCUCCACACAUAUUUCCCUGAUUGUAAUCCACCAAUUUGCUUAAUGCGCAUUCCCAUAUCAGUCACCAUUUUGCCAGACUGUCCCUCUGCUGUCGUCUGUCACACAGCAACAAAGUUUAAUAGAAUAUUUAUGGGAAGGUUCAACCUCUCCUGCCAUACCACCAACACCUGCCACUUAUGUCACGGUCUGUUAUAAAAUAGCUGGUAUUAGUUUCAGAUCAGCCCUUGUAUACAUAUUAUAUUGGGAGAAGGUUAUUUCUUCUUUUGGAAGACUGUGGAGAUACCAAAUGUAGUAGUACAGUGCUGUAGUGGAAAUGCCAAGUCAGGAUCUGAAGCAGUGAUUGAGCACCUGGUGGGAAGGCAGGGCCCAGGUGCAUGCAAUGCAAUGCACCUGAGUGACCGGAAGGGGUGGAGUCAGGAUCCACCCCUUUCCAGACCUCAUUUAAGGGUUGGCAGUGGAGGUAAGAGUAUUUUGCUAGAGCUUCCUGCUUUUUUGAGGCCUUCUAAGGGACUUCGUACUGCCAACCAUGUGUUUUUCUCUGAAGUGCAAAAAAUGAGUUUUGCACUCUCCAGCUCUUCAAGAUUGCAAGGAAACCUCCAGCAAGGACAGAUAUUCUGACUGAUCUGUUCCACCUCAGUCAUCACCUGACCCUGCAGGAAAGAGUCCGCCAAGGCUGUUAGAUGAACAAUCAGUGACUAGAAAAACUUAUGGAUAAUAUCACUAAGGCAAAAGAUUUCAUUCGUUGAAUGCCAGAAGUCUAGAUUAUCUGCCUUAACACUUGUGUAGCAUGGACUGAGUACCAGCCUCCUUCUAGUGUCAUGAACUACCAGAAAGAUCCCCAAGUACCGACUGCAUCUGCAUGCGAUGACCACUCUACAAAGUGGAGCAAAUGAGGGAAGGCUUCAUGCUCUUUUUGAGAAGUUAAAGCCAAGGAAUAAAAACUGCCCACACCACUAACCAUCUAAGCAAUGGAUGUCCUUAAGUGAGUUUGAAAAGGACCGAUAAGACCGUGUGAAGCAUUAAAGCCCUCGGUGUAAUGCCCAGCCUGUUCCUGGACCAGUGUCAGCGUGAAUGCACAAAAUUUGAGGCUCACCAACAGUACACGUCACACCCAAACACCAUUUUCUGCCCUCUUAAUCUAACCAUAGUGAUCUCCUGGGACACGGCUAUGUGUUAACUCAGCAGCUCUUACACAAGUCCCUACAGUGAAGCAUAUGUUUAUGUGGGCUAUUGAACUGAGUGCUAACCAACAAACCACGGAAAAAUAUGACCCUACAAUUUACUAGGCUAUUUCUUCUAACAAAAGGCUUACAACAGAAUUGCAAGCUAAAAGCAACCACUGUCUAAGUAACAACCAUGAGAAACACACAUUUUUGACUGUACACAUUUCAUUUUAUUUUAAAUGACUAAAUAUUAGACUUCCAUAUACUCAGAGACUUUGAAACCAGUGCUACUUUAAAUGAUCCCAACAUUUUUUUCAUUAUAUGCAAACCACCUAGGCAGUUCUGACUUUUAGGACUAUGGAGGCUUUUAUUUAUACAUUGCUUUUAUUUAUAGCAUUUCUACACUGUUGCUUUAGAAAUGUAGUUGUGGAGGGACCUUCCACUAAUAGCUCACUGCUGCAGCAGUGCUGUUAGUGGAGCUCCAGCUUGGCAUGCAGCUUUUGAGCUUGGACACCCAAACCUAAGCUCAGGCUGCUAGGACCUCAUGCAAUGGUGUCCUGAGAGUGAGAGCCAGCAGCACUUUCUUCAUUUGCAUUUACAGCUUACUGCUCAUCAACAAAGACUGUAUUGUUAAAAGCUGUGAAGUGGGGAAACAGGCAUGGUGGACACACUGAAAAUACAAUGGAUUAGGAAAUGUUGUGGCUGUGCCCAGAUUGUAGGGCAAGAUAACGCUCAGGGGAGGCAAAUUUGCAAAUAGAUUCAGAUCAACUUCAUGUGCUGCAGCUCCGAUGCUGAGUUCUGUAGUACUUUACAGCAUGUGUGCUUUGCUUUCAAAGAAAUGAAGAAAUCCACAUUAAAUGUCCACACGGGACUUGAUUGAGCUCUGUGUCACCACAAACAACACAGCACAGGUGAGUUUAACUGCUUAUCAUCAGCUAAAUACAAACUUAAACAAGGAAAUCUGACAUUUCUGCUUAGCAAAACUAACUGAGGAAGCAUUCUGUUCAAAUGCACUUUACAAUUCUCCUGCCCUUUCCACGUAUCACAGAAUCACAGAAUGGCCAGGGUUGGAAAAAACCUCAAGGAUCAUGAAUCUCCAACCUCCCUGCCACAUGCAGGGCCACCAACCUCGCCAGUUAAUACUGGGCUAGGCUGCCCAGGGCCCCAUCCAACCUGGCCUUGAACACCUCCAGGGACAGGGCAUCCACAACCUCUCUGGGCAGCCUGUU
Molecule: long non-coding RNA, 4498 nt
Organism: Lagopus muta (rock ptarmigan)
Lineage: Eukaryota; Metazoa; Chordata; Aves; Galliformes; Phasianidae
Exons: 5
Source: RefSeq, a predicted model, not a curated record